This 468-nucleotide ribosomal RNA is filed under the name uncultured bacterium. RNAcentral's name for it is "partial 16S ribosomal RNA". It matches the Rfam family "Bacterial small subunit ribosomal RNA", at positions 28 to 507 of the family's 1533-position model. The record is from RNAcentral.
GACGAACGCUGGCGGCGUGCUUAACACAUGCAAGUCGAACGGAAAGGCCCUGCUUUUGUGGGGUGCUCGAGUGGCGAACGGGUGAGUAACACGUGAGUAACCUGCCCUUGACUUUGGGAUAACUUCAGGAAACUGGGGCUGAUACCGGAUAGGAGCUCCUGCUGCAUGGUGGGGGUUGGAAAGUUUCGGCGGUUGGGGAUGGACUCGCGGCUUAUCAGCUUGUUGGUGGGGUAGUGGCUUACCAAGGCUUUGACGGGUAGCCGGCCUGAGAGGGUGACCGGCCACAUUGGGACUGAGAUACGGCCCAGACUCCUACGGGAGGCGGCAGUGGGGAAUAUUGCACAAUGGGCGGAAGCCUGAUGCAGCAACGCCGCGUGCGGGAUGACGGCCUUCGGGUUGUAAACCGCUUUCGCCUGUGACGAAGCGUGAGUGACGGUAAUGGGUAAAGAAGCACCGGCUAACUACGUG